UUUUACAACUCUACAUGCAGGCAUUAUUACUUCUAUGUUAUGGAUGGAGAAACUGAGACUUAGAGAGUUGGUCAAUCAGGACUCAACAAUACCAACCUCACCAACAUCAGUAGGACUACCUCUAUCAUCAGUAUCAUCAUCACCACCCUCAGUAACAUUCCCAACAAAAACUACCAUCGUGGCUCCUAACCAGCACCACUUCCACA
RNAcentral lists this long non-coding RNA (206 nucleotides) under Gorilla gorilla gorilla (western lowland gorilla). RNAcentral describes it as "lncRNA (ENSGGOG00000044657.1)". Lineage: Eukaryota; Metazoa; Chordata; Mammalia; Primates; Hominidae. The record is from RNAcentral.